This 76-nucleotide transfer RNA is filed under the name Candidatus Altimarinota bacterium. RNAcentral's name for it is "tRNA-Gly". It matches the Rfam family "tRNA". From Rfam's summary of the family: Transfer RNA (tRNA) molecules are approximately 80 nucleotides in length. The record is from RNAcentral. Lineage: Bacteria; Candidatus Altimarinota.
GUAGUGGUAACCCUAGUGGUAAGGGCGUGGUUUUCAAAACCACUAUUCAUGGGUUCGAACCCCAUCCACUACUCCA